This 72-nucleotide transfer RNA is filed under the name Sphaerodactylus townsendi. Its description in RNAcentral is "tRNA-Pro". It matches the Rfam family "tRNA". Rfam says of the family: Transfer RNA (tRNA) molecules are approximately 80 nucleotides in length. Their secondary structure includes four short double-helical elements and three loops (D, anti-codon, and T loops). Lineage: Eukaryota; Metazoa; Chordata; Lepidosauria; Squamata; Sphaerodactylidae. The record is from RNAcentral.
GGGACUGUACCUUGGUGGUAGAAUAUUUGCUCGGGAUGCAGAAAGUCCUAGGUUCAAAUCCCAGCAACUCCA